RNAcentral lists this small nuclear RNA (20 nucleotides) under Arabidopsis thaliana (thale cress). RNAcentral's name for it is "snRNA_06832". The record is from RNAcentral. Lineage: Eukaryota; Viridiplantae; Streptophyta; Magnoliopsida; Brassicales; Brassicaceae.
CGUAAAAGGUAUAGCAUUUA